GUGCUCGCUUUGGUGACACAUAUACUAAAUCUGGAAGACAGAGAGAAGGUGACCACAGCCCCUGUGCAAGAUGGCACACAAGUUCAUGAAACGUUCCCUAUUUUU
RNAcentral lists this small nuclear RNA (105 nucleotides) under Carlito syrichta (Philippine tarsier). The record is from RNAcentral. Lineage: Eukaryota; Metazoa; Chordata; Mammalia; Primates; Tarsiidae.